This 252-nucleotide ribosomal RNA is filed under the name uncultured bacterium. Its description in RNAcentral is "partial 16S ribosomal RNA". It matches the Rfam family "Bacterial small subunit ribosomal RNA", at positions 524 to 776 of the family's 1533-position model. The record is from RNAcentral.
UACGAAGGGGGCGAGCGUUGUUCGGAUUUACUGGGCGUAAAGGGCGCGUAGGCGCCUUGUCAGUCAGGCGUGAAAGCCCCGGGCUCAACCUGGGAACGGCGCUUGGGACGGCGAGGCUGGAGUUCGGGAGAGGAGAGUGGAAUUCCCAGUGUAGAGGUGAAAUUCGUAGAUAUUGGGAAGAACACCGGUGGCGAAGGCGGCUCUCUGGACCGACACUGACGCUGAGGCGCGAAAGCGUGGGGAGCAACAGGG